RNAcentral lists this long non-coding RNA (572 nucleotides) under Pongo abelii (Sumatran orangutan). Its description in RNAcentral is "lincRNA". Lineage: Eukaryota; Metazoa; Chordata; Mammalia; Primates; Hominidae. The record is from RNAcentral.
GACUAUAGAAGCCAAAUUCCAAUGUGAAAAUGCACCUUUCAAUUGCACAGACUAGGUCAUAAUGGAGGUGACACUCAUAAAAGAUUUUCUAGCUCUUAGCAGAGCUGUAAACCGGGACCCCUCAUCCAGGCAGACAGCACAGAAUCUGAAAAUCUGCCUAUCAAAAGCAUCAUUCAAGCCACAAGGCUCUUCUGUUCCUGGUAAAAGGCAGGCAGGAAAAGAGGAGACAAAGAAAAAUGUUAUGAUCUGAAGAUAUGGCCCAAAUCACCAACCACGCAAUUUGUUUUCUGAGGAAAGGAAAGACCUAGUGCAACUUUAUACAAAGAGCACAUCAUUCAUCCUUGAUCGGGCAUAUUUUCUCCUCCCAGCCACUAAUCUGCUCUCUGCUCUUACAUUUGCACAUUUUUAGAAUGAUAUUAAACAUCUGAAGAGUCAUUCAGGGAGCUAAAGUUCACUGUGGUUUGAAGUCUUAUAACUACAAAAUAAUGUUGUUCUAACUGAUCUUUCACAUCAAUGCAGACAAAAGCACUUUGGUAUGUAUGUUUAAGGCUCAACCCUAUCAAAGUCAGGAG